This 303-nucleotide ribosomal RNA is filed under the name uncultured bacterium. Its description in RNAcentral is "partial 16S ribosomal RNA". It matches the Rfam family "Bacterial small subunit ribosomal RNA", at positions 507 to 807 of the family's 1533-position model. The record is from RNAcentral.
AGCAGUAGCCGCGGUAAUACGUAGGGUGCGAGCGUUAAUCGGAAUUACUGGGCGUAAAGCGUGCGCAGGCGGUUAUAUAAGACAGAUGUGAAAUCCCCGGGCUCAACCUGGGACCUGCAUUUGUGACUGUAUAGCUAGAGUACGGUAGAGGGGGAUGGAAUUCCGCGUGUAGCAGUGAAAUGCGUAGAUAUGCGGAGGAACACCGAUGGCGAAGGCAAUCCCCUGGACCUGUACUGACGCUCAUGCACGAAAGCGUGGGGAGCAAACAGGAUUAGAUACCCGUGUAGUCCCUGUCUCUUAUAC